Molecule: long non-coding RNA, 758 nt
Organism: Biomphalaria glabrata
Lineage: Eukaryota; Metazoa; Mollusca; Gastropoda; Planorbidae
Exons: 4
Source: RefSeq, a predicted model, not a curated record
GAUGGUGAUGCAUUCUAUUGCUCUAGAAAUAGAACAUCCUACAGAUGAACAAAACCAGCACCUUUGGGCUGGGCUUGAAAACUACAUAAAAAAAAGUGCAGCAAGUGUAUCUCUAAAAAUAUUUGUAUGAGGUCAAGUUGUGGAGUACAUCCUAGCACUCUUGGACUAAAAGAGCAUUCAGAUUAAUGGGAAAAUCUCCUUUGAGUAACAGGCAAGACUUGGGAGCUAGUUAUCAAGAACUGUGCAAUAAAGUUGCAGAUCACAUCAGAUUGCUAUUCCAUACAACAUACAGAUAAUUGGACCCGUUAUCUACUUGGAACAGUCAAAUUAUAGAAGCUAUUGGAAUAGAUCAAAUAGUGGAGCAUACAGAUGGAGUAACAGGCAAGAAGUAGCGAUAUCAUGCUCAUUGAGAAUGCUUUUCUUUUCAAUAACAUUUGAAGAAUAACAAUUUCAUUCAGUCCCAUAACAUUUUUUUUAAGCUAGAACAAUUUAGAAGUAAUCAACAAGCUUAGUAAAAAUGUCAUUAUUUUCAGCAAGAUUGAAACAUAUCUUUGGUUAGACUGCCUAAUGUUUUAUCCAUUUAUCAUUUGAAUCAUAAUCACAUUUUGAAUUUUGCAGUUCAGGUGUCUGAGUACAUUCUAGCACUAUCAAGCAGCAUACAGACGAAUAAAACCAUCAUCUACCUGGAGCAGGCAAAAUAAAUAAAAAUAACAUGUUAAGAAUCGCAGCAAAGAUGUCCAAAAGAUUUUCUUCCUUAA